RNAcentral lists this ribosomal RNA (292 nucleotides) under uncultured bacterium. RNAcentral describes it as "partial 16S ribosomal RNA". It matches the Rfam family "Bacterial small subunit ribosomal RNA", at positions 505 to 796 of the family's 1533-position model. The record is from RNAcentral.
GUGUCAGCAGCCGCGGUAAGACGAGGGGUCCUAGCGUUGUUCGGAAUCACUGGGCGUAAAGCGUAUGUAGGCGGGUUUUUAAGUCGGGUGUGAAAUCCCAUGGCUCAACCAUGGAAUUGCAUUCGAAACUGGAAAUCUUGAGUGUGGGAGAGAUUGGUAGAAUACCUGGUGUAGUGGUGAAAUACGUAGAUAUCAGGUGGAAUACCGGUGGCGAAGGCGGCCAAUUGGCCCAACACUGACGCUGAGAUACGAAAGCGUGGGGAUCAAACAGGAUUAGAAACCCCGGUAGUCC